CAGGUGGGUGUUCUUAGAGUGUCUCUUCACUGUCACUGUAGAGGCUGUGAAGGCAAAGUGAAUAAACAUCUAUCUAUAAUGCAAAGCUCACUCUCAGAAAUUAAAAGGAUCUUUUGGCUCCGUGGGAGUAAAUUAUUACAGUGCCUUUUACGUUACAAGUGUCAUUGUCGUGGAUCAUAACACUCCAAACUGGAGAUCCGACGCACGCAUCGAAUGGAAAAAACAAAACAAAGCUGGAGAAGUUUUGGGUCCGAGAGGUGGUUUAGAAUGAGACUUUUUACACCGCAAGGGUUAAGAAAAUUUCUAAAUUAUGCAAAAAGCAAAUACAGAAACCCAAAUUUAUGAUAAUUGGACAUUGUGAUAUAUAGUAUGAAAAGAAAGCUAAACUCUCGAAUUUGAUGGAUGUUCAGACGAAAGAGUACCACGAAAAACAUCUCCAAAGCAUCCACCAAGCCAUCAAGGAGGAUGGAGGAUGGUGUUCAGGUAGAUGGAUACUAUGCAUGAUCAUUACUUGACAAGUGCGAAUAAAAAGCUGGUUAUGGUGUUAUGUACGGUCUAUUCUACCUAGACUACAACAACGGUUUAAAACGUAAUCCAAGAAUAUCGGCAAUGUGGUGCAAAGAGUUUUUGAAGAAAUAAGAGAUUGAAGAUUCAGAGUAAGAAGAGCUGAUGUUGAACUGUGUUGCUAACAAGAAUAUGAAGAGAUUCUCAACGUCGUCGGGUUCGCUUUCCUGUUUUAUACAUAUGUUUUCUUUGCAUUUAGAAAAGUACGAGAGUUAUGAGUUUAUGAUCAAGAGAUACCUGAGAAUCAUCUUUAGUGGGCAAUAUACAGUUGAAUUAUAUCCAUAUUGGUUUGGUCAC
Brassica oleracea var. oleracea is the source of this 861-nucleotide long non-coding RNA. RefSeq lists it as uncharacterized. Lineage: Eukaryota; Viridiplantae; Streptophyta; Magnoliopsida; Brassicales; Brassicaceae. The transcript is spliced from 5 exons. The record is from RefSeq and is a predicted model, not a curated record.